This 435-nucleotide ribosomal RNA is filed under the name Escherichia coli. RNAcentral describes it as "bacterial SSU rRNA". It matches the Rfam family "Bacterial small subunit ribosomal RNA", at positions 988 to 1422 of the family's 1533-position model. Lineage: Bacteria; Pseudomonadati; Pseudomonadota; Gammaproteobacteria; Enterobacterales; Enterobacteriaceae. The record is from RNAcentral.
CCUUUGACAACUCUAGAGAUAGAGCUUUCCCCUUCGGGGGACAAAGUGACAGGUGGUGCAUGGUUGUCGUCAGCUCGUGUCGUGAGAUGUUGGGUUAAGUCCCGCAACGAGCGCAACCCUUAAGCUUAGUUGCCAUCAUUAAGUUGGGCACUCUAAGUUGACUGCCGGUGACAAACCGGAGGAAGGUGGGGAUGACGUCAAAUCAUCAUGCCCCUUAUGAUUUGGGCUACACACGUGCUACAAUGGACAAUACAAAGGGCAGCGAAACCGUGAGGUCAAGCAAAUCCCAUAAAGUUGUUCUCAGUUCGGAUUGUAGUCUGCAACUCGACUACAUGAAGCUGGAAUCGCUAGUAAUCGUAGAUCAGCAUGCUACGGUGAAUACGUUCCCGGGUCUUGUACACACCGCCCGUCACACCACGAGAGUUUGUAACACCC